RNAcentral lists this ribosomal RNA (137 nucleotides) under uncultured eukaryote. Its description in RNAcentral is "partial 18S ribosomal RNA". It matches the Rfam family "Eukaryotic small subunit ribosomal RNA", at positions 1299 to 1458 of the family's 1831-position model. The record is from RNAcentral.
UGGUGGUUUGAACUGUCUGGUUAAUUCCGAUAACGAACGAGACCUUAACCUGCUAACUAGUUGCGCGCAUUCCGAUGCGUUGCAGCUUCUUAGAGGGACAAUGUGUGGCAAACACAUGGAAGUUUGAGGCAAUAACA